GGAAAUGCAGCUUAUUGGUAGAGUGCAUGCUUAGCAUGCAUGAAGCCCUGGGUUCAAUUCCUCAGUGCCA
This 70-nucleotide transfer RNA is filed under the name Dipodomys ordii (Ord's kangaroo rat). It matches the Rfam family "tRNA". From Rfam's summary of the family: Transfer RNA (tRNA) molecules are approximately 80 nucleotides in length. Their secondary structure includes four short double-helical elements and three loops (D, anti-codon, and T loops). The record is from Rfam by way of RNAcentral. Lineage: Eukaryota; Metazoa; Chordata; Mammalia; Rodentia; Heteromyidae.